RNAcentral lists this ribosomal RNA (339 nucleotides) under Dolichopus excisus. RNAcentral's name for it is "partial 12S ribosomal RNA". The record is from RNAcentral. Lineage: Eukaryota; Metazoa; Arthropoda; Insecta; Diptera; Dolichopodidae.
AAAAUUGUGCAGUUAUUAUGUCAGAGUAGUAUUAGUUAAGGUCUUGAAACUCAAAAAAUUUGGCGGUAUUUUAGUCUAUUUAGAGGAACCUGUAGUAUAAUCGAUAAUCCACGAUGGACCUCGCUUAAUUUUGUUUUCAGUUUGUAUACCGCUGUUAUUUGAAGAUUUUAUAAGAAUAUUAAUUUUCAGAAUUUUUAAUUAAAAAAUAUAUCAGGUCAAGGUGCAGCUUAUAAUUAAGAAUUUAUGGGUUACAAUAAAUUUAUUUAUACGGAUAAAAAUGUGAAAUUAUUUUUUGAAGGUGGAUUUAAUAGUAAAUUUUUAAAGAUAAAGGAAUUGAUU